CCUACGGGAGGCAGCAGUAAGGAAUAUUGGACAAUGCUCGCAAGAGUGAUCCAGCCAUGCCGCGUGCAGGAAGAAUGCCCUAUGGGUAGUAAACUGCUUUUGAACUAGAGAAAACCCCAGUACGUGUACUGGGCUGAUAGUAUAGUUAGAAUAAGCAUCGGCUAACUUCGUGCCAGCAGCCGCGGUAAGACGAAGGAUGCAAGCGUUAUCCGGAUUCAUUGGGUUUAAAGGGAGCGUAGGUGGACUGAUAAGUCAGUGGUGAAAUCUCCGAGCUUAACUCGGAAAUUGCCAUUGAUACUGUUGGUCUUGAGUACAGUUGCUGUGGGCGGAAUAUGACAUGUAGUGGUGAAAUACAUAGAGAUGUCAUAGAACACCGAUUGCGAAGGCAGCUCACAAAGCUGUAACUGACACUGAGGCUCGAAAGUGCGGGGAUCAAACAGGAUUAGAUGCCCUGGUAGUCCGCACCGUAAACGAUGAUUACUCGCUGCUAGGGGGCACCUUUAGUGGCUUAGCGAAAGCGUAGUAGUUAUUACUACGNGGNGAGCGCGACGNGAGAGAGAGAGAGNGNGAGAGNGCGACGGACGACGACGAGGAGGAGG
RNAcentral lists this ribosomal RNA (599 nucleotides) under uncultured bacterium. Its description in RNAcentral is "bacterial SSU rRNA". The stretch from base 1 to 534 matches the Rfam family "Bacterial small subunit ribosomal RNA", at positions 338 to 873 of the family's 1533-position model. The record is from RNAcentral.